AGUGAACGCUGGCGGUAGGCCUAACACAUGCAAGUCGAACGGCAGCACAGGAGAGCUUGCUCUCUGGGUGGCGAGUGGCGGACGGGUGAGGAAUACAUCGGAAUCUACUCUGUCGUGGGGGAUAACGUAGGGAAAUUUACGCUAAUACCGCAUACGACCUACGGGUGAAAGCAGGGGAUCUUCGGACCUUGCGCGAUUGAAUGAGCCGAUGUCGGAUUAGCUAGUUGGCGGGGUAAAGGCCCACCAAGGCGACGAUCCGUAGCUGGUCUGAGAGGAUGAUCAGCCACACUGGAACUGAGACACGGUCCAGACUCCUACGGGAGGCAGCAGUGGGGAAUAUUGGACAAUGGGCGCAAGCCUGGUCCAGCCAUACCGCGUGGGUGAAGAAGGCCUUCGGGUUGUAAAGCCCUUUUGUUGGGAAAAAAAUCCAGCUGGCUAAUACCCGGUUGGGAUGACGGUACCCAAAGAAUAAGCACCGGCUAACUUCGUGCCAGCCGCCGCGGUAA
This 506-nucleotide ribosomal RNA is filed under the name uncultured bacterium. RNAcentral describes it as "partial 16S ribosomal RNA". It matches the Rfam family "Bacterial small subunit ribosomal RNA", at positions 29 to 523 of the family's 1533-position model. The record is from RNAcentral.